RNAcentral lists this ribosomal RNA (253 nucleotides) under uncultured bacterium. RNAcentral's name for it is "partial 16S ribosomal RNA". It matches the Rfam family "Bacterial small subunit ribosomal RNA", at positions 524 to 776 of the family's 1533-position model. The record is from RNAcentral.
UACGAGGGGGGCGAGCGUUGUUCGGAAUUAUUGGGCGUAAAGGGUGCGUAGGCGGUUUGGUAAGUCUUAUGUGAAAUCUACAGGCUCAACUUGUAGUCUGCAUGAGAAACUGCCGGGCUUGAGUGUGGGAGAGGUGAGUGGAAUUCCUGGUGUAGCGGUGAAAUGCGUAGAUAUCAGGAGGAACACCUGUGGCGAAAGCGGCUCACUGGACCACAACUGACGCUGAGGCGCGAAAGCUAGGGGAGCAAACAGG